This 301-nucleotide ribosomal RNA is filed under the name uncultured bacterium. RNAcentral describes it as "partial 16S ribosomal RNA". It matches the Rfam family "Bacterial small subunit ribosomal RNA", at positions 509 to 807 of the family's 1533-position model. The record is from RNAcentral.
CAGCAGCCGCGGUAAUACGAAGGGGGCUAGCGUUGUUCGGAAUUACUGGGCGUAAAGCGCACGUAGGCGGAUAUUUAAGUCAGGGGUGAAAUCCCGCAGCUCAACUGCGGAACUGCCUUUGAUACUGGGUAUCUUGAGUAUGGAAGAGGUUAGUGGAAUUGCGAGUGUAGAGGUGAAAUUCGUAGAUAUUCGCAGGAACACCAGUGGCGAAGGCGGCCAUCUGGGACAACACUGACGCUGAGGCACGAAAGCGUGGGGAGCAAACAGGAUUAGAUACCCCGGUAGUCCCUGUCUCUUAUAC